Molecule: ribosomal RNA, 255 nt
Filed under: uncultured bacterium
Lineage: Bacteria
Description: partial 16S ribosomal RNA
Rfam family: Bacterial small subunit ribosomal RNA
Source: RNAcentral
GACGUAGGGCGCGAGCGUUGUCCGGAUUUAUUGGGCGUAAAGAGCUCGUAGGCGGCCUGUUACGUCUGCUGUGAAAUCCCCGGGGCUUAACCCCCGGGCGUGCAGUGGAUACGGGCAGACUAGAGGUAGGCAGGGGAGAGCGGAACUCCUGGUGUAGCGGUGGAAUGCGCAGAUAUCAGGAAGAACACCGGUGGCGAAGGCGGCUCUCUGGGCCUUACCUGACGCUGAGGAGCGAAAGCGUGGGUAGCGAACAGG